Molecule: transfer RNA, 83 nt
Filed under: Clostridiales bacterium
Lineage: Bacteria; Bacillati; Bacillota; Clostridia; Eubacteriales
Description: tRNA-Leu
Rfam family: tRNA
About the family: Transfer RNA (tRNA) molecules are approximately 80 nucleotides in length. Their secondary structure includes four short double-helical elements and three loops (D, anti-codon, and T loops).
Source: RNAcentral
GCGGAGGUGCUGGAAUCGGCAGACAGGCACGUUUGAGGGGCGUGUGNNAUGGCGUAGGGGUUCAAGUCCCCUUCUCCGCACCA